RNAcentral lists this ribosomal RNA (253 nucleotides) under uncultured bacterium. RNAcentral's name for it is "partial 16S ribosomal RNA". It matches the Rfam family "Bacterial small subunit ribosomal RNA", at positions 524 to 776 of the family's 1533-position model. The record is from RNAcentral.
UACGUAGGUGGCAAGCGUUGUCCGGAUUUACUGGGCGUAAAGGGCGCGUAGGCGGCUCGGCACGUCCGUUGUGAAAUCGCCCGGCUCAACUGGGCGGGGUCGGCGGAUACGGCCGAGCUGGAGCAAGCUAGGGGGUAAUGGAAUUCCCGGUGUAGUGGUGGAAUGCGUAGAUAUCGGGAGGAACACCAGUGGCGAAGGCGGUUACCUGGAGCUUUGCUGACGCUGAUGCGCGAAAGCGUGGGGAGCGAUCCGG